AUCAUCAGUAGUGGUUAAUACUAUCUCAAGAUAAUAUUAAUUACAUAUACACCAUAGAAACCUAAGGUAAAAUUUACGCAAGUUUUCAAAGCUCGGUUUCUUUAUCUCAUUUGUCGAAGGAAGGGGAACUUGUUCUCUAUCUUUUGGUGUAUGGGAGGGAGGUUGGGUGGAGUUAAUACUGGAACUUGUGUUUAAUUUACCGACCCAAUAAUACAACCCAAUAGCUGAAUGAGCAUUGACUACCUCCAAACAAGGUAGGCACAAUACCCAUUUCGUUUCUGGUUUCUUAGAUCAAAUUGUCUAUGAAGGAGUUUCCUCCUCUUUCGCUUUACGAAGUUGAAACGGGGAAAAGGUAGCACGUUAUCCAGAGGUCCAUAUAAUGUGGACUGAGAGUUUGGAUCUCCGCUGUGUCUCUUCCUUCAUGGUCAUACAUAU
The sequence is a small nucleolar RNA, 435 nucleotides long. It matches the Rfam family "Small nucleolar RNA snR37". The record is from Rfam.